Molecule: long non-coding RNA, 1025 nt
Organism: Zingiber officinale
Lineage: Eukaryota; Viridiplantae; Streptophyta; Magnoliopsida; Zingiberales; Zingiberaceae
Exons: 3
Source: RefSeq, a predicted model, not a curated record
UACAAUCACUGCAGACGAGCAGACGUCUGCUUAGCUAUGGCUUGAUGGCCGCGAGAAACGAAGAGUCUCACAUCUCGAAGAAACAAAGACGCUCUCACUGCCACUCUACGAAAUCGGGAAAGCAAGCUGCGUGAUUUUUGCUUCUUAAAAAAAACAACAAAGUUAGGGUUUCUUCUUCUUUUCCCUAGCCGCGCAUAGCUUGACUCUGCAACCCUCCCCAUUACCUGCCUUGAAGAUGGUAGUCUUCCCUUUCUCUGACGAAGACACCUUUCGGUGUAAUUCCCUGAUUCGCUUGGCUCGUCAUCCGCCGCCGCCUCUCUUCCAGUGCCAGUCCUGCGAGUUCAUUGGGUUCCGUUAUUUCAUCUGCUACCGGCGGCAUCAAUGCGACAACCUAGCGGCUCUCGAGGCAUCCUUGUCUUGGUGGUAGCUACUGGAGAGUCCGUGUUCCUUAGGGACUAAAAUGAGCUGCUUUUAAAUUUCUGCUGGCGCACUGUUACGUGACACAAUCCACUACUCCAUCUGCUACUCAUCAUCUGCUGCCGGCGGACCAAGAUCUCUGGAUGAACUGCUUUUGAAGUUAUUUCCCCAAAAUUUAAAGGGCUUUGGUGGUCAAGCACUCUAGCGGCUAAUCAAACACUUCAAGUUUGAAUCCCAACUACGGCAUAUUGCAAGGUAUUCUUCCUCUAAUAGAAUGAUGGUUAAUCAAGAACAUUGAUAAAGGUGAGCAUUUUCCAAUUUACUUUGUGAACAUUUGAUUUUUGAAUACUUGGUAUAAAAUAAAAUGAACAAGAUAACCAAGACAAGUGGCAUUCGGACAUCCUACUACAUGCAUGUGGCGGUGACACUUGUCAGCAUUAAUGAAGGCAGUUAUGUUUGACGAUUGAAUUCUGUAGCCGUGGCGGUGACACCUGUCAUCAUUAGUGAAGGCAACUAUGUAUGACGGUUACUUGAAUUCUGUAGUCGUUGUUGUAAUGCAUUUCGUUUAUAUGAGUCAUGAGCUGUGCAAGGCAUGGACAUUUAGAAGU